This 1503-nucleotide ribosomal RNA is filed under the name uncultured bacterium. RNAcentral's name for it is "bacterial SSU rRNA". It matches the Rfam family "Bacterial small subunit ribosomal RNA". The record is from RNAcentral.
GAUGAACGCUGGCGGCGUGCCUAAUACAUGCAAGUCGAGCGAACAGACGAGGAGCUUGCUCCUUUGACGUUAGCGGCGGACGGGUGAGUAACACGUGGAUAACCUACCUAUAAGACUGGGAUAACUUCGGGAAACCGGAGCUAAUACCGGAUAACAUGUUGAACCGCAUGGUUCAACAGUGAAAGACGGUCUUGCUGUCACUUAUAGAUGGAUCCGCGCCGCAUUAGCUAGUUGGUAAGGUAACGGCUUACCAAGGCAAUGAUGCGUAGCCGACCUGAGAGGGUGAUCGGCCACACUGGAACUGAGACACGGUCCAGACUCCUACGGGAGGCAGCAGUAGGGAAUCUUCCGCAAUGGGCGAAAGCCUGACGGAGCAACGCCGCGUGAGUGAAGAAGGUCUUCGGAUCGUAAAACUCUGUUAUUAGGGAAGAACAAAUGUGUAAGUAACUAUGCACGUCUUGACGGUACCUAAUCAGAAAGCCACGGCUAACUACGUGCCAGCAGCCGCGGUAAUACGUAGGUGGCAAGCGUUAUCCGGAAUUAUUGGGCGUAAAGCGCGCGUAGGCGGUUUUUUAGGUCUGAUGUGAAAGCCCACGGCUCAACCGUGGAGGGUCAUUGGAAACUGGAAAACUUGAGUGCAGAAGAGGAAAGUGGAAUUCCAUGUGUAGCGGUGAAAUGCGCAGAGAUAUGGAGGAACACCAGUGGCGAAGGCGACUUUCUGGUCUGUAACUGACGCUGAUGUGCGAAAGCGUGGGGAUCAAACAGGAUUAGAUACCCUGGUAGUCCACGCCGUAAACGAUGAGUGCUAAGUGUUAGGGGGUUUCCGCCCCUUAGUGCUGCAGCUAACGCAUUAAGCACUCCGCCUGGGGAGUACGACCGCAAGGUUGAAACUCAAAGGAAUUGACGGGGACCCGCACAAGCGGUGGAGCAUGUGGUUUAAUUCGAAGCAACGCGAAGAACCUUACCAAAUCUUGACAUCCUCUGACCCCUCUAGAGAUAGAGUUUUCCCCUUCGGGGGACAGAGUGACAGGUGGUGCAUGGUUGUCGUCAGCUCGUGUCGUGAGAUGUUGGGUUAAGUCCCGCAACGAGCGCAACCCUUAAGCUUAGUUGCCAUCAUUAAGUUGGGCACUCUAAGUUGACUGCCGGUGACAAACCGGAGGAAGGUGGGGAUGACGUCAAAUCAUCAUGCCCCUUAUGAUUUGGGCUACACACGUGCUACAAUGGACAAUACAAAGGGUAGCGAAACCGCGAGGUCAAGCAAAUCCCAUAAAGUUGUUCUCAGUUCGGAUUGUAGUCUGCAACUCGACUACAUGAAGCUGGAAUCGCUAGUAAUCGUAGAUCAGCAUGUUACGGUGAAUACGUUCCCGGGUCUUGUACACACCGCCCGUCACACCACGAGAGUUUGUAACACCCGAAGCCGGUGGAGUAACCUUUUGGAGCUAGCCGUCGAAGGUGGGACAAAUGAUUGGGGUGAAGUCGUAACAAGGUAGCCGUAUCGGAAGG